GAUGAACGCUGGCGGUGUGCCUUAGGCAUGCAAGUCGAACGAGAUCUCCACUUCGGUGGAGUGACAGUGGCAGACGGGUGAGUAACACGUAGGAAUGUACCCAGUAGUGGGGGAUAGCCCACCGAAAGGUGGGGUAAUACCGCAUGCGAUCGCAAGAUCAAAGACUUCGGUCGCUAUUGGAGCAGCCUGCGCGCUAUCAGUUAGUUGGUGGGGUAAUGGCCUACCAAGACGACGACGGCUAGCCGAUGUGAGAGCAUGAUCGGCCACAAGGUUACCGAGACACGGAACCUACACCUACGGGUGGCAGCAACCGGGAAUAUUGCGCAAUGGACGAAAGUCUGACGCAGCGACACCGCGUGUGGGAAGACGCUCUUCGGAGUGUAAACCACUGUGGCGAGGGAGGAAGUUCUGACCGUACCUCGCUAGAAAGCACCAGCUAACUACGUGCCAGAAGCUUCGGUAAUACGUAGGGUGCAAGCGUUAUCCGGAUUUACUGGGCGUAAAGGGUCCGUCGGCGACCCUGUAGGUCGAUUGUUUAAGCCUGAGGCUCAACUUCAGAAAGGCAAUCGAAACCGCGGGGAUAGAGUACAUUCGAGGAAGCUGGAAUUCUUGGUGGAGGGGUGAAAUCCGUAGAUAUCAAGAGGAACACCAUGCGCGAAGGCAGGCUUCUAGGAUGUUACUGACGCUCAGGGACGAAAGCUUGGGUAGCAAAAGGGAUUAGAGACCCCUGUAGUCCAAGCCGUAAACGCUCCUUGCUAGUUGCUCGUCCCGCCGAAUACAUAUUGUGUAUUGGGCGGGAUGAGUGACGUAAGCUAACGCGUUAAGCAAGGCGCCUGGGGAGUACGACCGCAAGGUUAAAACUCAAAGGAAUUGACGGGGGAGCGCACAACCGGUGGAGCAUGUGGUUUAAUUCGAUACAAAGCGAAAAACCUUACCCAGGAUUGACAUGUACCUGCACGGCCUAUGAAAGUAGGCUUUCUUCGAGAGUGGUACACAGGUGAUGCAUGGCUGUCGUCAGCUCGUGUCGUGAGACGUCCACUUAAGUGUGGUAACGAGCGCAACCCUUGUCGUAUGCUAUACGUGUCAUACGAGACUGCCUGUGCAAUGCACGGGAGGAAGGAGAGGACGAUGUCAAGUCAGCAUGUCCCUUACACCUGGGGCUACACACAUCCUACAAUGGAGCCGACAACAGGUAGCGACGGGGUGACCCCGAGCCAACCCUCAAACGGCCCCUCAGUUCGGAUUGGAGGCUGCAAUUCGCCUCCAUGAAGCCGGAAUCGGUAGUAAUCGCAAAUCAGCAGGUUGCGGUGAAUACGUUCUCGCUCCU
This 1327-nucleotide ribosomal RNA is filed under the name uncultured bacterium. Its description in RNAcentral is "bacterial SSU rRNA". It matches the Rfam family "Bacterial small subunit ribosomal RNA", at positions 28 to 1381 of the family's 1533-position model. The record is from RNAcentral.